UAAGGAAUAUUGGUCAAUGGAGGCAACUCUGAACCAGCCAUGCCGCGUGCAGGAAGACUGCCUUAUGGGUUGUAAACUGCUUUUAUACGGGAAUAAACCUUAAUUCGUGAAUUAAGCUGAAUGUACCGUAAGAAUAAGGAUCGGCUAACUCCGUGCCAGCAGCCGCGGUAAUACGGAGGAUCCAAGCGUUAUCCGGAUUUAUUGGGUUUAAAGGGAGCGUAGGCGGCCUAUUAAGUCAGGGGUGAAAGACGAUGGCUCAACCAUCGCAGUGCCUUUGAUACUGAUGGGCUUGAAUAUAGUUGAGGUAGGCGGAAUGUGACAAGUAGCGGUGAAAUGCAUAGAUAUGUCACAGAACACCGAUUGCGAAGGCAGCUUACUAAGCUAUUAUUGACGCUGAGGCUCGAAAGCGUGGGGAUCAAACAGG
RNAcentral lists this ribosomal RNA (424 nucleotides) under uncultured bacterium. RNAcentral's name for it is "bacterial SSU rRNA". It matches the Rfam family "Bacterial small subunit ribosomal RNA", at positions 355 to 776 of the family's 1533-position model. The record is from RNAcentral.